This 23-nucleotide non-coding RNA is filed under the name Arabidopsis thaliana (thale cress). Lineage: Eukaryota; Viridiplantae; Streptophyta; Magnoliopsida; Brassicales; Brassicaceae. The record is from RNAcentral.
CAAAAAGAUAGAGAGAGUGAUAG